RNAcentral lists this transfer RNA (84 nucleotides) under Nanobdellota archaeon. Its description in RNAcentral is "tRNA-Leu". It matches the Rfam family "tRNA". Rfam says of the family: Transfer RNA (tRNA) molecules are approximately 80 nucleotides in length. Their secondary structure includes four short double-helical elements and three loops (D, anti-codon, and T loops). The record is from RNAcentral. Lineage: Archaea; Nanobdellati; Nanobdellota. RNAcentral also lists the same sequence under 2 other names.
GCGGGGGUGCCGGAGCGGUCAAACGGGACAGACUCAAGAUCUGUUGGCUUAGUGCCUACGCAGGUUCAAAUCCUGUCCCUCGCA